GCUCAGUAACACGUGGAGAACGUGCCCUUAAGUGGGGGAUAAUCUCGGGAAAUUGAGGAUAAUACCCCAUAGGUCAUGGGAUCUGGAAUGACCCAUGGCUGAAAGUUCCGGCGCUUAAGGAUCGCUCUGCGGCCUAUCAGGUAGUAGUGGGUGUAACGUACCCCCUAGCCUACGACGGGUAUGGGCCUUGAGAGAGGGAGCCCAGAGUUGGAUUCUGAGACACGAAUCCAGGCCCUACGGGGCGCAGCAGUCGCGAAAACUUCACACUGGGGGGAACCCCGAUGAGGGAAUUCCUAGUGCUUGGGCAUUUGUCCAAGCUUUUCCCGAGCGUAGAUAACUCGGGGAAUAAGGGCUGGGUAAGACGGGUGCCAGCCGCCGCGGUAAUACCUGCAGCCCGAGUGGUGGUCGAUUUUAUUGAGUCUAAAGCGUUCGUAGCCGGUCCGUUAAAUCCUUGGGUAAAUCGGGAAGCUCAACUUUCCGACUUCCGAGGAGACUGGCGGACUUGGGACCGGGAGAGGCCAGAGGUACUUCUGGGGUAGGGGUAAAAUCCUGUAAUCCUAGAAGGACCACCGGUGGCGAAGGCGUCUGGCUAGAACGGAUCCGACGGUGAGGGACGAAGCCCUGGGUCGCAAACGGGAUUAGAUACCCCGGUAGUCCAGGGUGUAAACGCUGCCGACUUGGUGUUGGGGGCCCUUCGGGGGAACUCAGUGCCGGAGAGAAGUUGUUAAGUCGGCCACUUGGGGAGUACGUCCGCAAGGAUGAAACUUAAAGGAAUUGGCGGGGGAGCAC
This 789-nucleotide ribosomal RNA is filed under the name uncultured archaeon. Its description in RNAcentral is "bacterial SSU rRNA". It matches the Rfam family "Archaeal small subunit ribosomal RNA", at positions 88 to 879 of the family's 1478-position model. The record is from RNAcentral.